GACGAACGCUGGCGGCGCGCUUAACACAUGCAAGUCGAACGGAAAGGCCUGCAUUCCCUUGUGGAUUGCGGGUACUCGAGUGGCGAACGGGUGAGUAACACGUGAGUGAUCUGCCCCCAACUUGGGUAUAAGCCUGGGAAACUGGGUCUAAUUCCCGAUAGGACUGCAGGGUGGUGCCUGUGGUGGAAAACGAUUUUCUAGUGGUUGGGGAUGAGCUCGCGGCCUAUCAGCUUGUUGGUGGGGUAAUGGCCUACCAAGGCGGCGACGGGUAGCCGGCCUGAGAGGGUGGACGGCCACAUUGGGACUGAGAUACGGCCCAGACUCCUACGGGAGGCAGCAGUGGGGAAUAUUGCACAAUGGGCGGAAGCCUGAUGCAGCGACGCCGCGUGGGGGAUGACGGCCUUCGGGUUGUAAACUCCUUUCGACCGCGAGGAAGCCACCUGGUUGGAAGGGUGGUGACGGUAGUGGUAGAAGAAGCACCGGCUAACUACGUG
This 494-nucleotide ribosomal RNA is filed under the name uncultured bacterium. RNAcentral's name for it is "partial 16S ribosomal RNA". It matches the Rfam family "Bacterial small subunit ribosomal RNA", at positions 28 to 507 of the family's 1533-position model. The record is from RNAcentral.